UCCGUAGGUGAACCUGCGGAAGGAUCAUUACCGAGUUGAUUCGGGCUCCGUCCCGAUCCUCCCACCCUUUGUAUACCUACCUCUGUUGCUUUGGCGGGCCGCGGUCUUCCGCGGCCGCCCCCCGAUUUUGGGGGGUGGCUAGUGCCCGCCAGAGGACUAUCAAACUCCAGUCAGUAAACGUUGCAGUCUGAAAAAAAAUAUUAAAUAAACUAAAACUUUCAACAACGGAUCUCUUGGUUCUGGCAUCGAUGAAGAACGCAGCGAAAUGCGAUAAGUAAUGUGAAUUGCAGAAUUCAGUGAAUCAUCGAAUCUUUGAACGCACAUUGCGCCCCUUGGUAUUCCGGGGGGCAUGCCUGUUCGAGCGUCAUUUCAACCCUCAAGCUCUGCUUGGUAUUGGGCACCGUCCUUUGCGGGCGCGCCUCAAAGACCUCGGCGGUGGCGUCUUGCCUCAAGCGUAGUAGAAUACACCUCGCUUCGGAGCGUAAGGCGUCGCCCGCCGGACGAACCUUCUGAACUUUUCUCAAGGUUGACCUCGGAUCAGGUAGGGAUACCCGCUGAACUUAAGCAUAUCAAUAGGCGGAGGA
RNAcentral lists this ribosomal RNA (584 nucleotides) under Macrophomina phaseolina. RNAcentral describes it as "eukaryotic LSU rRNA". The stretch from base 214 to 367 matches the Rfam family "5.8S ribosomal RNA". Lineage: Eukaryota; Fungi; Ascomycota; Dothideomycetes; Botryosphaeriales; Botryosphaeriaceae. The record is from RNAcentral.